This 69-nucleotide transfer RNA is filed under the name Thysanoessa raschii. RNAcentral's name for it is "tRNA-Lys". The record is from RNAcentral. Lineage: Eukaryota; Metazoa; Arthropoda; Malacostraca; Euphausiacea; Euphausiidae.
CAUUAAGUGACUGAAAGUAAGUGUAAGUCUUUUAAACUUAUAAUAGUAGAUAACGACUACUCUUAGUGA